UUUCACUUUUCCCCCAAACAUUGACGUCCCUCUCCUAUCAUAGUUUUUUCAUUCCCUCAAUUUGCCCUGCCCAAUCCCACCGGAAUAUAAAUUUCCUUCUCAUAUCAGAAUUUUGUUGCAAAGAACAUCUUUAGCAUUCUAGAGAAUGGAUUCUCAGUGAUCGCGGCUACCCGGGAGUUCGAGAACCUUAAAGUUAGAAGGUUGCUUGAAAGAUGCAAUAUGUUGCGAGAAUGGAGAAUAUGGAGAUUGAGCUUCUUGAGAAAACACUCUCUGAUGAUUAAUGGAGUCAAAUUAAACAAGAUACAAAGCAAAGAGUGAGUGCAAGACUUAGAAUGCUAGCAAAAUUGUAUUUAGCCAGUGCUCUUCUACUCAAUUGUUACAAUGUUGUGUUGUUUAUAACUGGCAAUGAGUUAGCUAUGGAUUCAUAUCUAGUUGGAGUAAAAUAUAAUAUUCUAAAAUAUACUUUUGUCUUGUCAUUGGUCUUUAUGAGAUCAGUAAAGGAUUAUUUGUUUUCUGGUGUA
Long non-coding RNA from Salvia splendens (bonfire salvia), 521 nucleotides. RefSeq lists it as uncharacterized. The record is from RefSeq and is a predicted model, not a curated record. NCBI's taxonomy places the organism in Eukaryota, Viridiplantae, Streptophyta, Magnoliopsida, Lamiales, Lamiaceae. The transcript is spliced from 2 exons.